UUCCGGUUGAUCCUGCCGGAGGCCAUUGCUAUCGGAGUCCGAUUUAGCCAUGCUAGUCGAGCGAGGUUAGCCCUCGCGGCGAACAGCUCAGUAACACGUGGCCAAGCUACCCUGCAGAGGGGGACAGCGUCGGGAAACUGACGGGAAUCCCCCAUACCGGUCUCACGCUGGAAUGCCGAGACCGACAAACGCUCCGGCGCUGCAGGAUGCGGCUGCGGCCGAUUAGGUUGUCGGUGGGGUAACGGCCCACCGAGCCGAUAAUUGGUACGGGGUGUGAGAGCACGAGCCCGGAGACGGAAUCUGAGACAAGAUUCCGGGCCCUACGGGGCGCAGCAGGCGCGAAACCUUUACACUGCACGAACGUGCGAUAAGGGGACUCCGAGUGCGAGGGCAUACAGUCCUCGCUAUUGUGUACCGUAGGGUGGUACACGACCAACAGCUGGGCAAGACCGGUGCCAGCCGCCGCGGUAAUACCGGCAGCUCGAGUGAUGGCCGAUUUUAUUGGGCCUAAAGCGUCCGUAGCUGGCCCUGCAAGUCCGUCGGGAAAUC
RNAcentral lists this ribosomal RNA (549 nucleotides) under uncultured archaeon. RNAcentral describes it as "bacterial SSU rRNA". It matches the Rfam family "Archaeal small subunit ribosomal RNA", at positions 1 to 551 of the family's 1478-position model. The record is from RNAcentral.